CCUACGGGGGGCAGCAGUCGAGAAUCAUUCACAAUGGGGGAAACCCUGAUGGUGCGACGCCGCGUGGGGGAAUGAAGGUCUUCGGAUUGUAAACCCCUGUCAUGUGGGAGCAAAUUAAAAAGAUAGUACCACAAGAGGAAGAGACGGCUAACUCUGUGCCAGCAGCCGCGGUAAUACAGAGGUCUCAAGCGUUGUUCGGAAUCACUGGGCGUAACGCGUGCGUAGGCUGUUUCGUAAGUCGUGUGUGAAAGGCGCGGGCUCAACCCGCGGACGGCACAUGAUACUGCGAGACUAGAGUAAUGGAGGGGGAACCGGAAUUCUCGGUGUAGCAGUGAAAUGCGUAGAUAUCGAGAGGAACACUCGUGGCGAAGGCGGGUUCCUGGACAUUAACUGACGCUGAGGCACGAAGGCCAGGGGAGCGAAAGGGAUUAGAUACCCUAGUAGUC
RNAcentral lists this ribosomal RNA (446 nucleotides) under uncultured bacterium. RNAcentral's name for it is "partial 16S ribosomal RNA". It matches the Rfam family "Bacterial small subunit ribosomal RNA", at positions 338 to 795 of the family's 1533-position model. The record is from RNAcentral.